UGAGAACUACGUUACCACGGAUCACCAGAUCCGCUCCCUUCCCUCCCGUCAGCAGUAGAGGCGCAAGAAGAUGUAGAGAACCCGUCUCCCUUCCCAUAAGCACGACAGAUGAAACACACGAGACACUGGAUAUAGGGUUGGGCCUCUGGCCUCUUUCUGAUCUCUGUAUUAUGAGGGGGUGUACAAGUUCCUUAUAUAGAGAUGUGAGACCCCUCAGGGGCAAAGCAGGUAUUUGCCCACAUAACCCUAACUAGGGUUACUUAACACUCCCCCUUGGGCGAAUACCGCGACCAACACAUGCCUCGUUAAAACUCCGAAAAAACCCAGUGGGAAAAAUGUGGAGAAAGAGUGCAUGGUGACACAAAUUGCAUUUGCACUUUGUUGCCUCGUUAAAAACCUCAUGUGAGAAACUUCAGGAAAACUCACCAAGGAAAAAGAGUACAACAACUGUCAUCAGGACAUAUUUCGAUCUUGUAUAUCUAGAUUCAAUUGAAUCUUCUAUAAAGGCUAACUUUAGAAAUGUGCUCCCCCUAAUCCUUGCAAAACCGUAUCAAUAAGGCAAAACAUAUUCUUCUGGAAGUAUAUGCAUAUAAAGAUUUAGCAAACGGAUUGCAUAUCCUUGCAAGGACUAUUUCAGGAACUUUACCUCUACUCACUUCUAGGAUAUACGAGGUAAGUGCACGUAUCAAUAUAAAUAAGCCACCUUGAUUGAUGGUGUUCGAUCGACUGGAUCUAUAUAUUUGAUAGAAAGUUCCAUAAAGGCUCACAUAUUGAUCAUCAAGCUCACGCCUUCAGGACAUAGAAUAAGACAUUUAUUGUCUCACGAUUGUGAUCAAUAUAAGCAUUCGCUCCCCCUGACGGUGACAUCUGUCAAAGUCUUUAUCCCUCAUAACUCAAGCAUAUUCUUCAAGAUAUAUGUCUCAUUGUUCAUCUGGAAUAACGAGAAUGGAUGAGGUUGGGGUGCUAUCAUUUUCUAUCUUACACCACAAUUUAUACAUAGUUGUGCAAAGCAAAUAACAUGUCCUUCAAUAGGACUUAGGGGAUAAUAUAGUUGCAAUAGUACAUAUUCUAAAUAUGACACAUCGCUCCAGGCGUUCAUCCAUCGCAACAUCUAUGAUGGUGUAACAAAAGUCCAUCAAAGAUCAUAAUCCAUUAGAGAUUUUUCAUCGAUCAGAUACAUCGUUGUAGUCUGUCAUUCUGGCACAAUGGGGAUAUUUUGCCAGUAACACCUAAACCUUAUAGAUUUCUGCCAUCGUGGCUUUAGAGGAUACCGUAAUUCCACAUCUAGUGAAAAAUACCAUGAGUAAAGAUCGUGGAAUGCACAUGUGCUUAUUCAGUGAACUUCAAGUCCUUUGGUACCUCAUCUUAUUCCUUUUCGGGUCUGUAUGGGUCUUUAUCCCUUUAUAGGGAUUAUCAAACUUUGGUGUUUAACACAGACUUUAUUUCUUCUGGAAAGGUUCCAUCAAGGAACUAUAAUCUCAUCUAGGAGAUAUUCUCUCUAUAUAUGAGAGUGCUCAUUCGUCGGGAAUGUAUUAUUCGGUACGAGAUUUAUAUGUUGCAUAUUUAUAAUUCAAAGAUAUGAUCCUCCUAGGAUCUCAUGAUGGAUCUUCAGAAUCCUAUUAACUGCAUAUUAUAAUUCAUGCCAUUUGCAAGAUAUAUUACAUAGCGGAACUGUGUUUAUUCAACACAUAUGUGGGAUGGAUCUCUCACAAGACCACUUGAACCAUCGCAUUCACCACACAUUAUUUCAAUAGUGCCCAUAAUGUCCAAACUUUAAGCUCGUGACUUUCACUUUGCGAUUAUUGGUUCAGCCUCGAUUGCAUUUAUCAAUGACCCGAUAAGAGAGCUUAAAGCACUCAUGCCUAGGACUUUGUUUUGGAUCCAUUUGCAAUCUAGAGAGGCAAGAUAGGUGUCGACAUAUUUGUCUCCCACAUUUAAUAAUGAUCUUCGUCAUUUCCCAAAACGAAAGAUUCAUUGUUCCGUAUUCCUAGCACAAUGAUAUUGCGCGCAUUACUAGGAAUUUCAUCAUCAUCAUGAACCUCUUCGUGAGGCAACUCACCAGCAGGGCGAGUUCAUCGGAGGAGAGUUAUUACAGACCACGUGAAUCUGCAAUCAUAAUAUAUGCUUCGACUAAGGCUAAUGGAUCAUAUUCACAGGCGUCCCCGAGAAUAGAUCAAAUGCCAAUAAGUCAAAUGUGGAUAUGAUAUUAAUCCCGGGUAUAUCCACAUCUACAUCAGGUAGAAGCAUUCAAACCAAUAUGGUUAAUCCUCAACGAUUUCUGGCAAACUCCAUAUACAUAGGAGUACACACUAAACGACAAGUUUAGUUUGGCUUUUGUGCGUUUUAUAGAAUAUUGAGGCAUUACACUAUAUGGGCAUUCCCCCCUAAUGCCGAGAUGUUCUAAAAGCAUACAGAUAAAAUCCCCAACCACAAUCAUCCAGUUGUGGCCAAUGUAUGCUAUUGUGGUGAUUUAUUUGGGAAAUCUUACGCACAUUACAGAUAGGGGUUUUAUGCAGUGAGCUUUGGACUUAGAUUAAUGUAGUGGCAUGAAUACUACAUAUUUGUCCUUCACAUGAAGGUUAGUCUCAACAUCCAGCGAGACACGCAACAACUAGUUGCUUCAUGGUUACAAUUCUGCAAACUUAUUGUUAUUAUUACCAAAUACAUAGUCAAUCAUUAAGAUUUAGACUAACAUGCACAACACUAUUUUAUCCAUAAGGCUUCUCCAGGGGCUCAUGAAUACCAUUCGUCAUUUGGAGCCAUUAGUUGACUUCAGAUCAACAAGUAAAAUGACCAUCAGGGUCUAGCGCUCACAAAGACAUUCACUGGUUGCAUUGUGCUUUGAGGCACAUAGGAAAAUGUGUGUUUAUAUUGGUAGUAAAGUGCACGGCAUCAUGCCAAUGCUGCCAAGCAGAGACUUUUAUAUGCAGAGAUGUAUAGUCCAACUCGUUUUAUUAUUGCCCAUGGUUUACCCAAUUACUCAUAACGUUCUGAAAUUGGGUAUCGAUUUAUGCAACAUUUUUAGGUAUUAUAAUUUUGAGAGAGAAUUUAUAACAAUAGUUAUUAAUUUGUGGUGUUGCCAGCAGGGCAAACAUUUCUCCUUAUAUUAUAUACCAAAUUGUUCUAUAUAGCAUUAUUUCGAUCUCUUCAUUGUUCAGCAAAAAGAGAAGCUUUGGAAUAGAACAGACAAAGCCAAGAAUUCAUUUUAUCUGGGAAAAUCACCAUAUAACUAGCUUUUGAUGAAGCAAAUGAUGAUAGCUACUUGACAAGAACGAAACAAGACUAGUAUCCGCAUAGGAUCCAUCUUCAACAACAGAUAUUCCUGCUCUCAUACGAAGAAAUCAUCAGGAGUAGAGAGGAUACAACAGGUCUCUACAAGAUCUUCACAUUUCUAUCACAAAUUAUCAUCACUAGUAGUUUAUAUGUCAAUAAUUAUGGAUCUUCCGGCGCCAAGGACCAAUGACAUAUUAAUGCCCAAUUUCACUUCAAGCUCUGUGGUGAUGUGGGAUUUCAUAGUUAUUUGUCUACUCUUCUCACUUCUAGUAGAUCAGAGGUAGAUAAUGGUAAGCAUGCCAAUGGGUGGAGUUCAGUGUAGUUCGACUACAUAAACCCCAUGUAUGUGUUCAUUCAGGACCGACCUUUACCAUUUAGCUUACAGUGUAUACCAAACUUGUCAAAGGACUAUCUCGAGUCAAUUCAGUGACUAUUAGAAUUUACAAUUCUGAGAGAUGUAUGCAACAUAAGCAUAAAGGUCCUAGACAGGAUGAGCAAAGUGGUUCGACGGGAACACACAAUAGUUUUCAUACCAACACAGUGAAAAUCUUCUCAGAAUAACCUCUCGGUAUACUCGCAACUUCGUGUUGCUAGCGACUACAUGUCCUUUUAUCUCAUAGUUUGCUUCAUGUCAUUCAGCGACAAAGAGAGCAAUGUGCUAACAUCUGGUUGAGCAAUGUAUGACUGAGAUUUUUGGUCAUAAAUUAUUUGGUAAGGUCAUAUUGCUUACUAAUAAAAUCCCAAUUUGUGAUGUCUUAUGCCAAAAAGGCUUUCAUGCAUUAUAUUAUAUAUCUUCGGGUUACUUCGGGUAAAACUUUAUGCAUGAGGAGAGAGCAGAGAGUUAACUUAUCCAUGUUCUGUUGUAUUUCAAUUUAAUUUCCCAGAUUAUUCAAGCACUAUAGAGCUUGAUAUAGUUGUUAUGGCCACUUGGCAAUAUAAAUAAAUAUAUGAUGCCACACAACACAAGCAAAUAAAAUAUAGAGCUAAAUAAAUUUGUUUAUGAAGGUUGCGUAUAAUGUGACUUUAGGGCUUGAACGACUCACCACAAUCCACGUGAGUACAAGCUCUAUCGUAUGUGGCGUCAACGCGUGUGUGGCCAUCUGGGCUACGACAACACAAUAAGCCUUCAUAACAAACGCAACAGGCGCAGUUGUGACUAGAUAGUCGGGGUACAAGACAAGUCCACGCAACGUGCGCAAUAGGCACAAUUGUGGCUCGAGGCAGACAGACAAUGCCUACAGGGCAUGCGAAAAAUACGUGACUCGAUGAUGGCGGUCCGACUCAACGAGAGUGGUCCGAUUAAGCGAGAGUGCGACAUAGCAAUCAAAUGACGCAGCCAAGUUCGUACGACAUAAAUACUGCGUCGUGUUGCCAGGGCGCAGCCAGUGCUCAGCCAAUGCCAUAACUCGAUCGAUUAAUAACGUAGUCUGAUCGACGUGUCUGAGUACCCACUAUACAAUUUAAUCGUUCGACGUGAGUCCAAAAGCUCAACACAUCAUAAAUAUUUAGUGCGAUUCACUUAUACACUAUAUAGUCUUUACAUGCAUUUUAAUAAUUUUCUGCUAAUUAUUUACUAUGAGAAAUAAAAGCAGAAAAAAAACCCAGAAUUAAUGCAUGAACAUAACACAUCAGAUAUAAAAUAUGUCUAUCCAUAUUUAAGCAUAUGUUUUUUCUAAUUAAUUAUUUGCGACAGGAAAUAAUUAAUUUAAAUAGAAAUCACAACAUAAAAUAUGCUUUAUUCAAUUCGUUACGUGCAAUUAAAUUGAAUAAAUAAUAUAGAGUAUGCACAUAAAUUAAUAUUGUACCAAAGUUUAUUGAUUCAGCAAAAAAAUUAUAGGAAAAACUAUAAAAAAAAUCUCACUCCCGAGAAAACCAGAUCAACGAGAUCCGUCCUUUGACAAGCUAGCUUCCGCAUUUUUUCUUUAUUAGUGGCCGCAGAUGGGCACUUGAUGGCUGCAUGCAUGCUUGUCUUUUAUCCUUGCAUGCAGUAGCAGCAGAAACGUCUUCUCACUUCUGGGGAGGAAACGGUCAAAAAAAAAGAGGCACUACCAGAUCCCCAAGUAACCGGAACGGUGGAAUGGACAUGCAAGCCACUUCCCGGUGCAUGCACUGCAUUUGACCAUAUCACGUCACUUGACCAUAGAGCAGGAGCAAGCAUAGCCGCCAUGCAAGCAAGGAACGGGUUGGCUGGUUGCCUGGGCUCAGAUGACCGAGUCGCAGCUCGGGCUCUAUGCCAGACCACAGAUUUUUGUUGAUCGCCGCCUCUCGCGGACGCGCAGACUCCGCUAUGGCCACGCGCUAGCACGCUUCUCCGGCACGAGCGUGACCUCAGCGCGGCACGACUUCUAGCGCAGCGCGGCUGCGUGCUGCCGAUGUGGGCUAGCUGUCGCUAGAGCGAGCGCUUCUGGCGCGGGCGUCGCACCACCACAGCGACGACGAUAACAAGUUCGUCGCGCAUGGAUCGUAGGCUAUGCAUAAUAGCAUAUAAAAAACAGUAAACAUACCGCUCGAUCGCGUAGAGGGAAAAUCGAAGCAUGUCGCGUAGGACAGUUCGGCUAGGCCGGAGGACCUGCCGGUUUGACGGAGAGUUGAUGCAGACCUGAUCCCGCAGCAACGUCGAGGUAGAGUGUGCUGAUAACGUGUUGAGAACUACGUUACCACGGAUCACCAGAUCCGCUCCCUUCCCUCCCGUCAGCAGUAGAGGCGCAAGAAGAUGUAGAGAACCCGUCUCCCUUCCCAUAAGCACGACAGAUGAAACACACGAGACACUGGAUAUAGGGUUGGGCCUCUGGCCUCUUUCUGAUCUCUGUAUUAUGAGGGGGUGUACAAGUUCCUUAUAUAGAGAUGUGAGACCCCUCAGGGGCAAAGCAGGUAUUUGCCCACAUAACCCUAACUAGGGUUACUUAACACUGUUGACAUGUGAAGAGGGCACAUUCUCUUCCACAAUGAAGAGGUAGGCCCCCUCCGUUUGAGCUGAGGAAAUGCCUUAUGUCGUAUCUGAUUUUGUUGACAAAACCCAGUGCUAUAUGUAUGCCGCGAUCAAUUUUUUAUACAUAUAUGACAUGAUUGGUGAAUAAUCUAUAACCAUACUUAUUAAAUAAAUGUAAUGCUUUUACAAAAGAGACCCAAAGGUGUUGUAAAAGAUCAGCACAGACAGGCUGUAGCGGCUGUAGCCUCGACUGGGUUCCGUACACCAAGAAAUUCAAUAGCGCAGAGAAGUUCUAUAGAGGG
This 6504-nucleotide long non-coding RNA is filed under the name Zea mays. Its description in RNAcentral is "long non-coding RNA (ZMAY_LNC001056)". The record is from RNAcentral. Lineage: Eukaryota; Viridiplantae; Streptophyta; Magnoliopsida; Poales; Poaceae.